CGAGGGAGGAUUUUAAUAUAACAUAUUGAAUAUGCCAAUUUUGUAACAUCGUAUGACAUGAUUUAGUUUAUACUUCUACAUGUAUUUGCACAGGUUGAAUGAAAUCCAUGUUAAAUUCAUGAGCAUUGUUUAGCUCAAUCCUCAUCUGAACAGCCAGGUACUACUGCUACCUUAGCCAUCUAGUAGGGCUUUGUUUCCGAUUACGAUAUACCGGAC
RNAcentral lists this long non-coding RNA (216 nucleotides) under Mytilus galloprovincialis (Mediterranean mussel). Lineage: Eukaryota; Metazoa; Mollusca; Bivalvia; Mytilida; Mytilidae. The record is from RNAcentral.